This 135-nucleotide ribosomal RNA is filed under the name Oncomelania hupensis. RNAcentral's name for it is "5.8S ribosomal RNA". It matches the Rfam family "5.8S ribosomal RNA", at positions 1 to 137 of the family's 154-position model. Rfam says of the family: 5.8S ribosomal RNA (5.8S rRNA) is a component of the large subunit of the eukaryotic ribosome. It is transcribed by RNA polymerase I as part of the 45S precursor that also contains 18S and 28S rRNA. Lineage: Eukaryota; Metazoa; Mollusca; Gastropoda; Littorinimorpha; Pomatiopsidae. The record is from RNAcentral.
AACUUUAGGCGGUGGAUCACUCGGCUCGUGCGUCGAUGAAGAACGCAGCCAGCUGCGUGAAUUAAUGUGAAUUGCAGGACACAUUGAACAUCGACAUUUUGAACGCAUAUUGCGCCACAGGUCCGUCCUGUGGCC